GGAGAAAAGCAGGGGAUCGCAAGACCUUGCGCUUUUGGAGCGGCCGAUGUCUGAUUAGCUAGUUGGUGAGGUAAAGGCUCACCAAGGCUUCGAUCAGUAGCUGGUCUGAGAGGACGACCAGCCACACUGGGACUGAGACACGGCCCAGACUCCUACGGGAGGCAGCAGUGGGGAAUUUUGGACAAUGGGGGCAAGCCUGAUCCAGCAAUGCCGCGUGAGUGAAGAAGGCCUUCGGGUUGUAAAGCUCUUUUGUCAGGGAAGAAACGGUGUGGGCUAAUAUCCUGCACUAAUGACGGUACCUGAAGGAUAAGCACCGGCUAACUACGUGCCAGCAGCCGCGGUAAUACGUAGGGUGCAAGCGUUAAUCGGAAUUACUGGGCGUAAAGCGUGCGCAGGCGGUUUUGUAAGUUUGUCGUGAAAUCCCCGGGCUCAACCUGGGAAUGGCGAUGAAGACUGCAAGGCUAGAAUCUGGCAGAGGGGGGUAGAAUUCCACGUGUAGCAGUGAAAUGCGUAGAGAUGUGGAGGAACACCGAUGGCGAAGGCAGCCCCCUGGGUCAAGAUUGACGCUCAUGCACGAAAGCGUGGGGAGCAAACAGGAUUAGAUACCCUGGUAGUCCACGCCCUAAACGAUGUCUACUAGUUGUCGGGUUUUAAUUAACUUGGUAACGCAGCUAACGCGUGAAGUAGACCGCCUGGGGAGUACGGUCGCAAGAUUAAAACUCAAAGGAAUUGACGGGGACCCGCACAAGCGGUGGAUGAUGUGGAUUAAUUCGAUGCAACGCGAAAAACCUUACCUACCCUUGACAUGGACGGAAGCCACGAGAGAUCGAGGUGUGCUCGAAAGAGAACCGUCACACAGGUGCUGCAUGGCUGUCGUUAGCUCGUGUCGUGAGAUGUUGGGUUAAGUCCCGCAACGAGCGCAACCCUUGUCAUUAGUUGCUACGAAAGGGCACUCUAAUGAGACUGCCGGUGACAAACCGGAGGAAGGUGGGGAUGACGUCAAGUCCUCAUGGCCCUUAUAGGUGGGGCUACACACGUCAUACAAUGGCUGGUACAAAGGGUUGCCAACCCGCGAGGGGGAGCUAAACCCAUAAAACCAGUCGUAGUCCGGAUCGGAGUC
Molecule: ribosomal RNA, 1120 nt
Filed under: uncultured Oxalobacteraceae bacterium
Lineage: Bacteria; Pseudomonadati; Pseudomonadota; Betaproteobacteria; Burkholderiales; Oxalobacteraceae
Description: bacterial SSU rRNA
Rfam family: Bacterial small subunit ribosomal RNA
Source: RNAcentral